UGGGGAAUUUUGGACAAUGGGCGAAAGCCUGAUCCAGCAAUGCCGCGUGUGUGAAGAAGGCCUUCGGGUUGUAAAGCACUUUUGUCCGGAAAGAAAUCCUUGGCUCUAAUACAGUCGGGGGAUGACGGUACCGGAAGAAUAAGCACCGGCUAACUACGUGCCAGCAGCCGCGGUAAUACGUAGGGUGCAAGCGUUAAUCGGAAUUACUGGGCGUAAAGCGUGCGCAGGCGGUUUGCUAAGACCGAUGUGAAAUCCCCGGGCUCAACCUGGGAACUGCAUUGGUGACUGGCAGGCUAGAGUAUGGCAGAGGGGGGUAGAAUUCCACGUGUAGCAGUGAAAUGCGUAGAGAUGUGGAGGAAUACCGAUGGCGAAGGCAGCCCCCUGGGCCAAUACUGACGCUCAUGCACGAAAAGCGUGGGGAGCAAAACAGGAUUAGAUACCCCUGGUAGUCCACGCCCUAAACGAUGUCAACUAGUUGUUGGGGACUUCAUUUCCUUAGUAACGUAGCUAACGCGUGAAGUUGACCGCCUGGGGAGUACGGUCGCAAGAUUAAAACUCAAAGGAAUUGACGGGGUCAUAGCUGUUUCCU
This 589-nucleotide ribosomal RNA is filed under the name uncultured bacterium. RNAcentral's name for it is "partial 16S ribosomal RNA". It matches the Rfam family "Bacterial small subunit ribosomal RNA", at positions 355 to 1375 of the family's 1533-position model. The record is from RNAcentral.